CAGUAGCCGCGGGAAUACGUAGGGUGCAAGCGUUAAUCGGAAUUACUGGGCGUAAAGCGUGCGCAGGCGGUUAUAUAAGACAGAUGUGAAAUCCCCGGGCUCAACCUGGGAACUGCAUUUGUGACUGUAUAGCUAGAGUAUGGCAGAGGGGGGUGGAAUUCCGCGUGUAGCAGUGAAAUGCGUAGAUAUGCGAAGGAACACCGAUGGCGAAGGCAGCCCCCUGGGCCAAUACUGACGCUCAUGCACGAAAGCGUGGGGAGCAAACAGGAUUAGAUACCCGCGUAGUCCCUGUCUCUUAUAC
Molecule: ribosomal RNA, 301 nt
Filed under: uncultured bacterium
Lineage: Bacteria
Description: partial 16S ribosomal RNA
Rfam family: Bacterial small subunit ribosomal RNA
Source: RNAcentral